This 265-nucleotide ribosomal RNA is filed under the name uncultured bacterium. RNAcentral describes it as "partial 16S ribosomal RNA". It matches the Rfam family "Bacterial small subunit ribosomal RNA", at positions 793 to 1055 of the family's 1533-position model. The record is from RNAcentral.
GUCCACGCCGUAAACGAUGGGUACUAGAUGUUGCGGGAAUUGACCCCUGCAGUGUCGAAGCUAACGCAUUAAGUACCCCGCCUGGGGAAGUACGGCCGCAAGGUUAAAACUCAAAGGAAUUGACGGGGGCCCGCACAAGCGGUGGAGCAUGUGGUUUAAUUCGAUGCAACGCGAAGAACCUUACCUGGGUUUGACAUCCUCUGACAGCUCUAGAGAUAGAGUCUUGUAGCAAUACACAGAGAGACAGGUGCUGCAUGGCUGUCGU